UGAGGAAUAUUGCGCAAUGGGCGAAAGCCUGACGCAGCAACGCCGCGUGUGUGAUGAAGGCCUUAGGGUUGUAAAGCACUGACCAGAGGGAAGAACAAGCGGGCUUAAUCUCCCGCCCUGACGGUACCUCUGAAGAAAGCACUGGCUAACUCCGUGCCAGCAGCCGCGGUAAUACGGAGAGUGCAAGCGUUGUUCGGAAUUACUGGGCGUAAAGGGCGUCUAGGUGGACCAGUAAGUCAGAUGUGAAAGCCCUCGGCUCAACCGAGGAAGUGCAUCUGAAACUACUGGACUUGAGUACUGGAGGGGACAGUGGAAUUCCUGGUGUAGAGGUGAAAUUCGUAGAUAUCAGGAGGAACACCAGUGGCGAAGGCGACUGUCUGGCCAAGUACUGACACUGAAGCGCGAAAGCGUGGGGAGCAAACAGG
Molecule: ribosomal RNA, 425 nt
Filed under: uncultured bacterium
Lineage: Bacteria
Description: bacterial SSU rRNA
Rfam family: Bacterial small subunit ribosomal RNA
Source: RNAcentral